UCUCUCUCUCUCCCCUUCAAUUUCUUAUUUUAACACCGCACCCAAUCCCUUAAUUGUUUCUCUUCCGAAUCCAUAAGCUGCUAUAUUUUCUUAUGAGCUCUACUAAUUAAUUAAGAAAAUUGCUAAUUCUAGGGUUUGAAUACAUAAUCAACAAUUGAACUUUCUUUGAUGUUCGAUUGCUGGUUUUUAAGCUAAGCUCUUUGGGCCAUUUCGCUUUGUUUUCUUCAUUCAUCGCUUCUUGUUGUCAAAUUAACAUUUUAUUUUUGUGUGUGUGCUCUUCUUAUGUGUUAGGUUAAAGCUGCAUACAGAAAGAAAGUAUGGGAAUCUCAUCCUGACCUCUUUCCUCUUUAUGAAAAGCCCGGUGCCGAGUCAAAGUUCAAGUUGAUUUCAGAAGUACACUUACUUGCAGACUGGGUUAUCUGAAAGAGCCAUUUUAUGGUUU
Molecule: long non-coding RNA, 442 nt
Organism: Populus nigra (black poplar)
Lineage: Eukaryota; Viridiplantae; Streptophyta; Magnoliopsida; Malpighiales; Salicaceae
Exons: 3
Source: RefSeq, a predicted model, not a curated record